AAGAGCGGGGAAGAAGGGAAUAAAGUCAUUACCUGGAAACAGAGGUUCCAUCAUCGUUGUCACCGUCGUCACCUUUGGCAAGGUAAAUCUCAAAAUUCCUUAUUUCAUUUAAUUCUUUGUCACCAUGAUGCAGAGAAGAGCUAUGGGAAUCGAAGCCCCAAUCCCUUGGCUCUGAUUCUCGGGGAGAGGCGUUUAAUUUAAGAUCUUGAAAUUAGGGUUCUUGAGGAUCCCGAUUCUGUUAGUGAGUUAGGUUUAUUUUUUAUGAAAUUAACAUGAUAUUCAUGGAGAGGAGAGAGAGACAGACAAGAUGAUGGUUGAGAUUCAUGUUUUGGUGGCCACUGCCGCUGGAAGCAAUUUCCGGCGCAGUGGUCCAUGGCGAUGAGGAGAGGGAGUGUUGACCCGAGUUGAGAGUGAGUGUGGCGCGUGUUUUAUUUUGAAUUCAUUUUCAGCACCCAAUCAAUGACCCUCACAUGUGCCCUUUGACUUAGGCUUCAUGGCUUAAUGAU
This 506-nucleotide long non-coding RNA is filed under the name Lathyrus oleraceus (garden pea). RNAcentral describes it as "Pisum sativum (pea) long non-coding RNA (PSAT_LNC038213)". The record is from RNAcentral. Lineage: Eukaryota; Viridiplantae; Streptophyta; Magnoliopsida; Fabales; Fabaceae.